This is a long non-coding RNA of Homo sapiens (human), 5520 nucleotides long. RefSeq lists it as uncharacterized. The transcript has 7 exons. NCBI's taxonomy places the organism in Eukaryota, Metazoa, Chordata, Mammalia, Primates, Hominidae. The record is from RefSeq and is a predicted model, not a curated record.
GUGAGGAGAGAGAAAUAGAGACAGAGAGAGACAGAGAGUGAGAACAUAGGUGGGAAGAAGAAACGGGGAGGCAGGGAGGGAGACUGAGGGCAGGGAAUCAGUGCCUGCUCUCCCUCUUCUGAAACACACCAGGGAAAGCCCUUUGGGAAUUUACGACGGCAACAACAGGCUAUUGGAGCCACUAUUAUCAUUAUUUUUACAGAUGCUGUAAAAAACCUCAGCAAGUCUCCUGGGAAAUCUGAGUGUCUGUCUUGUGCCUGGGACUGUCUUAGAAGCUGGAGAUGCUGCCGUGAAUGAGACACACCAUCCCUGCCUUCAUGGACCGACUAGAAGCACCUUCUAGUCUUACUUUCUCAUUGAACAGAGGGGUAAACUGAGGCUUAUGGUUGGGAGGGGGAAAUGAUUGACACAUGGUCAUAUAGUGGGAUGGUGGCAGAAGUGGGACUAGAUCUCAGGUUCCUCACUGCCAGGCAAGAGCGUGUUCUGUGACUCUAGGCUUAGAAAGGAGAGGAAGUCUCUUAUUGAGAACACACAGGGCAAGUGGAGAGUCAGAUCCAUGAUGAGCCACCAACUGGGAAGUAGGAGGGCACAAAGGUGCUUGAGGAUCAUUCGAGGUUUUGUUAAUAAACCUUUUGUUUCAGAAGAGUUUUAGAUUUACAGAAAAGUUGCUGAUAGAAUACAGAGAGUCCUCAUAUAUUCCACACCCAGUUUCCUUUAUUAUUAGCAUUUUAGAUUAGCAGGACAUGCUUGCCACAAUUAAUGAACCCUAUUGAUACCUCACUAUGAACUGAAGUCCACUAUGAACUGAAGUCCAACCCUAUUGAUACCUCACUAUGAACUGAAGUUCAGACUUCCUUACUUUUUAGCUCAUGUUCUUUCUCUGUUCCAGGAUCUCAUGCAGAAUACCACAUCACAUUUAGUCAUCAUGUCUCAGACUUCUCUUGGCUGUGACAGUUUCACAGGCUUUGUUUUUGAUGACCUUGACGGUUUGGAGGAACAUUGCUCAGAUAAUUGCAAGGCUGCAUUAAGGGAAGAGAAAGAGGCAUGGAAGAAGAGAAAGCAAAGCAUCACAAUAGGCUUGAAAGCACUUUUUGGGACAAAACUUUGUAUGUGUACUGAAAUGUGGAACUUAGUGGAAGCAAACAGAAAUCUACUACGUUUUUAAGGGAGGUAAAUUGCUAUGAAACCAUGAACCUGGAACCAAAAAGCUUUCGACUAUUGAGUCCUAAAACCAGUUUCACGCCAGCAUACUUGCACCAGCAGAAGGCUGGCUGUUGAAGCUGGGUAACUGCCAAAGGUUGCAUUCUCCCCAAUAUCCACUGUAGAUAUAGCCAUGGUGGAUAAUGGAAAAGGGAGACCCUUCAAUCAAAAGGGAAGAGUCAGGUCACAGAGGACGGUGACAAAGGAGUUCUUCUCAGAAAACAGAAUCAGAGUUGAAUAUAAGAACUUAGUCUGAGGCCUUCAUAAUGCUCUCCAAGCAGGAUUUCAGAAUUGCUAUGAACCAUAAUGGGCGUGUGUGUUUUCCUUCUUUUCAAACAAGGUCUUUAAUUUGCUGUUACUCUGUCCCUGUGCCACCAUUGUAUAUUGGGUGUGUGUAGAGUAGGGGGUGGGUUGGGGGGCAGAUAAUUUUUCUUUUUAGUUCAUAGGUCACUGGACCACCAAGAGACCUGAUGGAGAUACUGGAACAUUGGCGAUCUUGAGCUUUGACCUGGAUGUGCUGACAGGGGAUGUGAAAAGUCAAGGAGAAUGAUGCAAAAAUACUCAUGAACUAUCCGGUGCUGAACAAAUAGAGGGAAGAUAAUGAUGCUGCUGACGAAACUGAUGAAGAAGACCACGAUGAUGAUAAUUGUGCUUUGCUCGUAAAGUUACUUGAUUUUUGACUGACUGAUUAGAUGCAGUUUCCCUGAAUGGAGCUGCCUACCGCCUUCCUUCUAGGGCUUAUCCAGACAACCUUGGAGAAAGCCUGCCUGGUAGAAGAGAAAGGAGCCAAGCAAAACCAAAAAACGGAUAUGAGAUGAAAAGGAAAGAGAGUAGAGUCCUGGUGACAUCAAGUCCUGGCUCUCUUUGGGGAUCCUGGAGAAGAGUAUUUUUAGGAGGCAUUACUGUGAAGCAUAGCAGGUGGCCAGAUGGUAAUGGAAGGAAACAUGGUCCCUUCUAUCGGCUACAAGAACUGAGUGGCAUUCAGAGCUUCUCUCGCAUCUUGGACUCUCAGGCUGCAGAUCAAUCACAAUGCCAUAGAACACAGAUGACACUUUCCCCUGCUUUGGAGACCCGUUGUUCCCAUGGUGUAGAUACAUGUAAGAGGGAGUGCCAUAGAAAAUGACAACUGCUCGUCAGGUGGGAAGCUCACAUGAAGAAGCCUUGUGUCCUUCCUGCAGUGGAAGACAUCUUCGGGAUAGCAGCCAGGGUAUAUACCUGGGAAAAGAUGACCACCAUCAAUCACAGUGGUGUUCAGGAGCUUUCAGUUCUCAUGCCCCCACAGAAACAAUGACUGACAACCAUUCACAGAUGAGAGCACCUUUGUGGAGCCCGGAAGGCCAGCAGAGAGGUCCAAGCAUCCUGCUGAAGAAAAGAAUCUGAACAUAGACACUUUAAAGAGGAUAAGAAAAGCAGUUUCAUUUUACCAGCAUCGGCCUCCCUCAAGGCAGCACAGCUUAAUGUCAAAGAGACCUGCACCUCCAGUGAUUUCUCCCAUAGGGGAAAGUGAGACCUUCUCCAGCCUAAGGGGUUCUUUUCUUUCUCACCUCACCCAGAAUACUGAAUGAAUGACUCAAUAGUCCUGGGACAAUUCGGGGCAGGGGCUCACAGCAACAUGGGUGCAGUACAUAAAGCGUUAUUGUUUCCACUGGCUGCUCUGCAGAAUCCACCAAGAGGCUGCUCACAAACCUUCCAGGACAUAUCACCUGUGGAGGCCACAACAAGACCAUGGUUGUGUCUGGUAUUUUGCCUGCCCUCUCCCCAUAGAUGUGCCUGCAAGAGCCUCUGCAGCUCAUACACCAAAAACACACACAGACAGCCAACUAGACUGCUCUGGGUUGGGAGAAGAUACUUUAAGCACUUCAUGUCACUGCCCUAGGAAAAAUAAAUUGGAGAUUCUCAGUACCCAGCAUGGUUUUAAGGCUUGAGAGAAAGUAUACAAUCGUAACACUUCCUCGUGGAGAGGGAACAAAAGGAGUGGAGUUGGUGUAUCCAUAGGAUAAGUCUGAGAUUCCACAUGCAAGUGAGAUCAUGCAGUAUUUCUUUCUUCAUCUGGCUGAUUUCACUUAGCACAGUGUUCUCCAGGUUCCUCCAUGCUGUUGCAAAUGGCAGGAUUUCCUUAUUUUUAAUGGCUGAAUAAUAUUCCAGUGUCUAUAUAUAUCAUGUUUUCUUUAUCCAUUCAUCUGCUGACCAACAUUUGUUUACGUAUCUUGACUAUUGAGACUAGUGCUGCAAUGAACAUUACAGAUGAGAGUGCAGAUAUGUAUUCGACAUACUGAUUUCAUUUCCUUUGGAUAUACACCCAGAAGUGGGAAUGCUGAAUCAUAUGGUAGUUCUAUUUUUAACUUUUUGAGGAAGCUCUGUACCAUUUUUACAAUGCUUGUACCAGUUUAUAGUCCCAUCAGCUGUGUACAAGGAUUUUUGUCACACAAAACUUCAACACAUCCUUUUCUUUUUGUUAGUAGCCAUUUUAACAAGUGUGAUGUGAUAUCUCAUUGUGAUUUUGAUUUGCAUUUAUUUGGCAAUUAGUGAGGUUGAGCACCUCUUCAUAUACCCAUUGGCCAUUUGUAUGUCUUCUUUUGAGAAAUGCCUAUUCGGGUAACUUGACCAUUUUAAAAUCAGGUUGUUUACAUAUUUAUUUUGCUAUUGAGUUGUGUGAGUACCUUAUAUACUUUGGAUAUAAACUCCUUAUCAGGUAUAUAGUUUGCAAAUAUUUUCUUCCAUUCUCUACAUUGUCUUUUCAUGUUGUUGAUUGUUUCAUUUGCUGUACAGAAGUUUUUUAGUUUCAAAGAAGUAAUUCCACUUGUUUCUUUUUGUUAUUGUUGUCAUGGGCUUUUUAUGUCUUAUCGAAAAAAAUAAUGCCAACAGCAAUGUGAAAGUGCUUUUCUCCUAUGUUUUCUUCCAGGAGUUAUAUGGUUUCAGAUUUUACAUUUAAGUCUUUAAUCCAUUUAGAGUUAAUUUUUGUAUAUGGUAUGAGUCCUAUUUCAUUUUUUGCAUGUGGCUAUCCAGUUUUUGCAACACUACUUAUUAAAGGGAUUUCCCCCCCAAUUUUGUACUGGCACUUUGGUCAAAGAUUAGUUUACCACAUAUGCCUAGAUUUAUUUCUGGGCUCUGUAUUCUGUUUCAUUAAUCUAUCUGUCUGUUUUCAUGUCAGUACCAUACUGUUUUGAUUACUGUAGCUUUGUGUUAUAAUUUGAAAUUAUUGAGUGUGAUGCCUCUAGGUUUAUUCUUUUUACUCAAGAUUUCUUUGACUAUUGGAGGUCUUUUGUGGCUUAUAAAUUUUAGGAUUGUUUUUUCUAUUUCUGCAAAAAAUGUCAUCAGAAUUUUGACAGAGACUGCAUUAAAUCUGUAGACUACUUUGGGUAAUAUGGACAUCUUAGUAAUAUUAAUUAUUCCUUUCCAUGAACACAGAAUAUCUUUCCACUUUUUUUUUGUCUUCAGUUUUUUCAUCAAUAUCUCAUAUUUUCAAUGUACAGAUCUUUUACCUCCUUGUUAAAUGUAUUCUUUAAGUAUUGUAUUCUUUUUGAUGCCAUUGUAAAUGGAAUAAUGUUGUUAGUUUCCUUUUUGAAUAGUUUAUUGUUAGUGUAUAGAAACACUAAUGACUUUUCUGUGUCUAUUUUUUAUGCUGUAACUUUCCUGAAUUUAUUACUUUUAUCAGUUUUUUUUUGUGUGUAGAGUCUUUAGAGUUUUCUCUAUAUAAGAUCAUGUCAUUUGCAGAGACACUUUGAUUUCUUCCUUUUCAAUUUGGAUAAUUUCAUUUCUUUUUUUUUUGCCUAAUUGCAACAGCUAUAACUUCCAGUACUGUGGUGAAUAUAAAUGGCAAGAAUGGGCAUCCUUGUAUUUUUCCUUAUCUUAAAGGACAAUCUUUCAUCUUUUUACCAUUAAGUAUGAUGUAGACUGUGGGCUUGUCAUACAUGGCUUUUAUUAUUUUGAGACACAUUGCUUCUACACCUACUUUGUUGAGACUUUUACCAUAAAACACCAUUGAAUUUUGUCAAAUGCUUUUUCUGUAUCAAUUGAGAUGACCGUAUGAAUUUAAUCCUUUAUUCUGUUAAUGUAGUGUAUCUUAUUUAUUGUUUUGCAUAUGUUGAAACAUCCUUGCAUCCUAAGAGUAAAUCCCACUUGAUGAAUUUAAUGUGCUGUUGAAUUCAGUUUGCUAACAUUUUAUUGAUGAUUUUUGCAUGCAUAUUCACCAAGGAUGUGGCCUUUAACUUUCUUUUCAUGUAGUGUUUGUGUCUGGCAUUUGUAUUAGGGUAAUGCUGGCCUCAUAAAAUCAGUUUGGAAAUAUUCCUUCUUCUCUGCUUUUUCUGGAAGAGUUUGAGA